ACGGCGCACGGGUGCGUAACACGUGGGUAAUCUGCCUUCGAUGGGGAAUAACUCCGGGAAACCGAAGCUAAUUCCGCAUAACAUUCCUUGAACUUCGGUUCGGGGAUUCAAAGCCGUAAGGCGUCGGAGGAGGAACCCGCGCACGAUUAGCUAGUUGGUAGGGUAACGGCCUACCAAGGCUUUGAUCGUUAGCUGGUCUGAGAGGAUGGCCAGCCACACUGGAACUGAGACACGGUCCAGACUCCUACGGGAGGCAGCAGUGGGGAAUCUUGCACAAUGGGCGAAAGCCUGAUGCAGCGACGCCGCGUGGGGGAUGAAGCUUUUCGGAGUGUAAACCCCUUUCGACCCGGACGAAUACCUCGCAAGAGGGGUGACGGUACGGGUAUAAGAAGUCCCGGCUAACUACGUGCCAGCAGCCGCGGUAAGACGUGGGGGGCCAGCGUUGCUCGGAAUUACUGGGUGUAAAGGGUUCGUAGGCGGUGUAGCAAGUCGGGAGUGAAAUCUCUGGGCUCAACCUAGAGACUGCUUCCGA
This 532-nucleotide ribosomal RNA is filed under the name uncultured bacterium. RNAcentral's name for it is "bacterial SSU rRNA". It matches the Rfam family "Bacterial small subunit ribosomal RNA", at positions 95 to 630 of the family's 1533-position model. The record is from RNAcentral.